CCAGACUCCUACGGGAGGCAGCAGUGGGGGAUAUUGGACAAUGGGGGGAACCCUGAUCCAGCGACGCCGCGUGAGUGAAGAAGUAUCUCGGUAUGUAAAGCUCUAUCAGCAGGGAAGAAGAAAUGACGGUACCUGAGUAAGAAGCCCCGGCUAACUACGUGCCAGCAGCCGCGGUAAUACGUAGGGGGCAAGCGUUAUCCGGAAUUACUGGGUGUAAAGGGAGCGUAGACGGUGAUGUAAGUCUGGAGUGAAAGGCGGGGGCCCAACCCCCGGACUGCUCUGGAAACUGUGAAGCUGGAGUGCAGGAGAGGUAAGCGGAAUUCCUGGUGUAGCGGUGAAAUGCGUAGAUAUCAGGAGGAACACCGGCGGCGAAGGCGGCUUACUGGACUGUAACUGACGUUGAGGCUCGAAGGCGUGGGGAGCAAACAGGAUUAGAUACCCCCGUAUAG
RNAcentral lists this ribosomal RNA (449 nucleotides) under uncultured bacterium. Its description in RNAcentral is "bacterial SSU rRNA". It matches the Rfam family "Bacterial small subunit ribosomal RNA", at positions 331 to 793 of the family's 1533-position model. The record is from RNAcentral.